RNAcentral lists this long non-coding RNA (435 nucleotides) under Capsella rubella. RNAcentral's name for it is "long non-coding RNA (CRUB_LNC002902)". Lineage: Eukaryota; Viridiplantae; Streptophyta; Magnoliopsida; Brassicales; Brassicaceae. The record is from RNAcentral.
AAGAUAUGUAGCUAACCUUUGAAUGAUGUAACACCAAAAAAAAAAGUAGUUUUAUUUUGUGAAUGUGGUACGUGUGUCAAUCUCCAUACUGCAGACAAACUUGGUAUUAUAUAUACAGUAACAAAAAAAAAAAAGGUUUUAUAAAACUAACAACUACGUCUCGCGAGACCGAUCGGUCUCGAUCGUUACUGAAAACUUAUGAAACUUUUAGUUCUUUUUUUUUUUUUGUGUGAGUAAUUAAAUAAUGGCAGUAUAAAGUUCCAAAAAGUGUAGAAAAAUAUUAAAGCAGUACUAGCAAGUAGGGUAAGAGAAAAUCCUAAGAAAUCGUGGGGGGAAGAAUAGGUGAAAUGGACAUACGAACUGUCAUAUUAUGAUGAUUUCUGUAUUAUAUGUAUACUUACAAUUUGCACGUGUUCCUUGGUUUUUUCCCCGUCA